UACGUAGGGUGCAAGCGUUAAUCGGAAUUGCUGGGCGUAAAGCGUGCGCAGGCGGUUUUGUAAGUUCUGUCGUGAAAUCCCCCGGGCUCAACCUGGGAAUUGCGAUGGAGACUGCAAGGCUAGAAUCUGGCAGAGGGGGGUAGAAUUCCACGUGUAGCAGUGAAAUGCGUAGAGAUGUGGAGGAACACCGAUGGCGAAGGCAGCCCCCUGGGUCAAGAUUGACGCUCAUGCACGAAAGGCGUGGGGAGCAAACAGG
This 256-nucleotide ribosomal RNA is filed under the name uncultured bacterium. RNAcentral describes it as "partial 16S ribosomal RNA". It matches the Rfam family "Bacterial small subunit ribosomal RNA", at positions 524 to 776 of the family's 1533-position model. The record is from RNAcentral.